UUAAUAAAAAUCCCAAAUAUGCCAAAACAUCAAAUAUUAAAUUCCGUACAUCAUCAGUUUCUUUAGUUCAGUUCUUCCAUUUCCUCUGUCCCCUAUUUGUACCAGAGCUUGCGAAAGCCAUUGAAGAGCUAUAGUUUUUGCGUGUUUUUGGUCAAUUUUGUUUCUUUAUACAAUAUCUAAAUCCAUGUUUUCCCUUUCUCAAUAUUACUUUCUAGUUUGUAAUUUUGUUAAACCCUAAUUUGUUUGUUAAUUCAUAUAGGUGGUCCGGCGGUGUUAAGGGAGGCGAUAACAACGGCUUCAACGCAUCCUCUUAACGGGAGUUUCCAAAUGAAGAAAAAUGCCUUAAAUGCUUGACUCCUAGAUGGAAGGAAAAAGUUGUGCAAGGUGGUGAUGUGUCUUUUGGUGACGAAGACGAGGGUGUUGCUGAAAAGAAAACUCAAUUAGUAUUACGUCAUUUUCCUGUCAUUCCAAGGUUGCAAAGGAUGUUUGUCUCCUCGAAGUUAGCAAAGGACAAGCGAUGACAUAAAGAUGAAUGCUCAAAAGAUGAGAUUUGCUUACCCUGCCUUUAAGGGUGUCAUAGAUGAGAAAGUGUUGGAGCCUUUAAGGGAGCUCAGUUUAAUUUUCAAGCAAUUAUGCUCAAAAACUUUGAAGGUUUCCGACUUAGAGCGAAUGGAAUCAAAUAUCGCAAUCACCUUGUGCAAGUUAGAACGUAUAUUCGUUCCUGCAUUUUUUGAUGUGAUGAUACAUCUUCCAAUUCACUUGGCCACUGAAUCUAGGAUUGUCGGCCCAGUACAUUAUUGAUGGAUGUAUCGUUUUGAAAGGGCGAUGAGGACAUUUAAAUCAUCUGUACGGAACAAAGCUCACCCUGAAGCUUCAAUUGCUAAUGAGUACAUAGAAAUGGAAUGUCUAUUAUUUUGCUCAAGAUAUAUUUCUAAGAUUGAGACGCAAUUUAACCGUCUAGAUCGAAAUGACGAUAUCGAUCAUGAACAACUCCAUACCCUGUCCAUUUUUUCUAAAAUGGGCAAGUCUUUAGGGUAUAAAGCAGCUCGCUUUUGAUGAAUGGAAAGAAGAUCACCUUUAUGUUCUAAAAAAUUGUGAAGAAGCACAACCUUUCUUAGAUGAGUAUCUGAAUGAUACGAGUCUUCCAAAGAUUGACUUUUACAAGUGGUUUGAGAAUAAGGAAAAUGUCAAUAAUUCCAACUUCAUCAGAACAAGAUCAACAAGAAAAUGAGAUUCAACAACCACCACCAAGGUUGACUUAUCGUGAAAAGCGAAGGAUUGACCAAGCUGAGCUUCGAAAAAAAAUCCCUAAUCGUAAGAGGCGUGGCCCUAAAGGGGUUUAAAAUAUGCUUCCAAAAGAGAAAGAAAUCCAGAAGAAAAGAUUACGUUAACUUUUAUGGAUGAGCUUCGGCAUGUGGUUAGUGAAAAGGCAAAUGAGUUCAUAUAUGAUUGUAGCAAUUGGGUGGAAGAGUUUUGUCCUUUGAAUGCAUUGAAUUGGGCUAAAAUGGAUCCUGAUGCGAAGAAUAUUUUAUAUGACAAGAUUUUGGCAAAAUACAAUUUACCUGAAAAGAUUGGUGGUGCGGACGCGACUGAUGCAUUGAGCUUUCAAUGUUCUAUAUUAUAUAGGCAUUGGAGGUUUAGACUCAAAGAAAAAUACUAUAUAGGCAAAACAAAGGCAGAGGCUAGAGACAAUAGACCUUCAACUAUUGAUCCGAUACAGUGGGAUUGGCCAUUAGCAAAGUGAACACAACAAAUAAAUUGAAGUUAACUGAAACACCGGCUAAUGGUGCAAAGUCCACAGCAAGAAUUUUCUAUGAUAUGAUUAACGAGCCACCAAUUGUUGCCAAUCAAGUCGAAGGGUCAUCUGAACAUGCUGAAGUGCAACAAGAUCCCAUCUAUGUGAGAUUAUAUGAGAAGACAAAAAAGUAU
RNA transcript from Chenopodium quinoa (quinoa), 1929 nucleotides. RefSeq lists it as uncharacterized. The transcript has 10 exons. Lineage: Eukaryota; Viridiplantae; Streptophyta; Magnoliopsida; Caryophyllales; Amaranthaceae. The record is from RefSeq and is a predicted model, not a curated record.